GCCAGUCAUCGGGGCUGAGUGAGCGAGUGAACGUGUCUUCAUGGCGGACUGACGACAACUUCAAGCCGCGUGUGGACUCGGACAUCAUCGGAGACCACCGACUUUUCCCCCCCCACGUCCCACGCCUUCUUAGGACGGUGCUCGUGGAAUUCCUGCUGGCCGACAGGAAGCAGGCGAGUGGGGCUCCGAGAGCUCCGAGGGCUGCCUCGCACCAGGUGGACGCUCGUCUGUCUACCAAGCUAUGCCGGCUUGGAUGCACUAUUGACCGCCACUGGGGUCCCAGCUUCGCCCCUGGCAGCGGGGCGACGAGGAACAUUUAGCUGCUGUGUGCUGCUCAUGUUGGGGGAGGAGAAGUUGGAGAGCGACCCCCUCCACCGACUCUUUUUAUGACUGCCUCCAUUUUCCCUGCUGGCUCAUCAGGACUUAUGUACAAAUCAUCAAUCUACCUCAAGCAAGUGACAUCUACUUCCACCGGAAGGUGUUUGUGCUGACACUGCAGAUACCUCCAAGCAAGUGGCCUCCACACAGGUGUGUCCAGGUGUCCGCCGGAAGGUGUUUAUGCUGACGCUGCAAAUACCUUCACACAGGUGUGUCCGGACGUCCACCUGACGUUGCAGAUACCUCCACACAGGUGUGUCCAGCUGACACUGCAGAUACCUACAAGCAAGUGGGAUCCACAAAGGUGUGAACAGAUGUCCACCUGACGCUGCAGAUACCUCCACACAGGUGUGUCCGGACGUCCACCUGACGCUGCAGAUACCUACAAGCAAGUGGGAUCCACAAAGGUGUGUCCAGAUGUCCACCUGACGCUGCAGAUACCUCCACACAGGUGUGUCCAGACAUCCACCUGACGCUGCAGAUACCUCCAAGCAAGUGGCCUCCACACAGGUGUGUCCAGACAUCCACCUGACGCUGCAGAUACCUCCAAGCAAGUGGCCUCCACACAGGUGUGUCCAGACGUCCACCUGACGCUGUAGAUACCUCCAAGCAAGUGGCCUCCACACAGGUGUGUCCAGACGUCCACCUGACGCUGUAGAUACCUCCAAGCAAGUGGCCUCCACACAGGUGUGUCCAGAUGUCCACCUGACACUGCAGAUACCUCCACGCAGGUGUGUCCAGAAGUCCACUUGACGCUGCAGAUACCUCCACACAGGUGUGUCCAGAUGUCCACCUGACACUGCAGAUACCUCCACGCAGGUGUGUCCAGAAGUCCACUUGACGCUGCAGAUACCUCCAAGCAAGUGGCCUCCACAAAGGUGUGUCCGGACGUCCACCUGACGCUGCAGAUACCUCCACACAGGUGUGUCCAGACGUCCAGCUGACGCUGUAGAUACCUCCAAGCAAUUGGCCUCCACACAGGUGGAUUGUUGCUGUAGAUACCUCCAAGCAAGUGGCCUCCACACAGGUGUGUCCAGAUGUCCACCUGACGCUGCAGAUACCUCCACACAGGUGUGUCCAGACGUGCAGCUGACGCUGUAGAAACCUCCAAGCAAGUGGCCUCCACACAGGUGUGUCCAGACAUCCACCUGACACUAAAGAUACCUCCAAGCAAGUGGUCUCCGCACAGGUGUGUCCAGAUGUCCACCUGAUGCUGCAGAUACCUCUAAGCAAGCGGUCUCCACAAAGGUGUAUCCAGAUGUCCUCCUGACGCUGCAGAUACCUCCACACAGGUGUGUCCAGACAUCCACCUGACGCUGCAGAUACCUCCAAGCAAGUGGCCUCCACACAGGUGUGUCCAGAUAUCCACCUGACACUAAAGAUACCUCCAAGCAAGUGGCCUCCGCACAGGUGUGUCCAGAUGUCCACCUGACGCAGCAGAUACCUCCGCACAGGUGUGUCCAGACGUCCACCUGAUGCUGCAGAUACCUCCAAGCAAGCGGUCUCCACACAGGUGUGUCCAGAUAUCCACCUGACACUAAAGAUACCUCCAAGCAAGCGGUCUCCACACAGGUCUGUCCAGAUGUCCACCUGACACUGACGAUACCUCCAAGCAAGUGGCCUCAGCACAGGUGUGUCCAGAUGUCCACCUGACGCAGCAGAUACCUCCGCACAGGUGUGUCCAGAUGUCCACCUGACGCUACAGAUACUCCCAAGCAAGUGGCCUCCACACAGGUGUGUCCAGAUGUCCACCUGACCCUGCAGAUACCUCCAAGCAUCAGCCGGACGUGUGUCCAGAUGUCCAGCUCGGCUGUCAGGUGUUUGUGCUGACGCCGCAGAUGGCUUCCUUCCCAGACUCGGACCUGCAGACGUGUCCCCUCUGCAAGGAGCUGUGCGGCUCCUCCGCUCCCAUUUCCUCCAGCUCCUCCACCUCCUCCUCCUCCUCCUCCUCGCACACCUCCUCCUCCAGCCAGACCAGCAGGAGACUCCACGUCCUGCCCUGCCUCCACGUCUUCUGCAGGCAGUGCCUGGAGGGCCAGCGUUGCCCCGGCGACCCCCUCAAGCUGCGCUGCCCCACCUGCGACCAGAAGGUGUCCAUCUCCGAGGCCGGGGUGGACUCCCUGCCUUCCUCCAACUUCCUCUUCAGCAACCUGUUGGACGUGGUGGUGAACACGGAGGAGCAGGUCCAGAACAAGAACGGCCACCACCAUAAUGUGGGCUUGGGCUCCUCUGGCUUCCAUCACACCCCCGGAGGCCUCCUGCACCCUCACCUCAUGGGAGAGCCUCAGUGCAGCUCCUGCGACGAGGAGAACCUGGCCACCUCCCACUGCCUGGACUGCCAGGAGUACCUGUGCGACAACUGUGUGCGUGCCCACCAGCGGGUCAGGCUGACCAAGGACCACUUCAUGGAGAGGCUAGGAGAGAACCUCCACCUGAGCCGGGUCAACAGCAACCCCGGCCAGUCGGUGGCGCUCGCUCAGUCCCUGCAGAACAACUUUACACUGCUGACCCUCUUCCAGGAUCACAUCAGCUACUGCCCGCACCACGACAACCAGGUUUUCCUCUUCUUCUGCGAGACCUGCGCCAUGCCCAUCUGCAAUGAGUGCAGCAUGGGCCGUCACCUGGGCCACACCUUUGUUUACCUCCAAGAUGCCGUGCAGGACUGCAGGGCCGUCACCAUCCAGCUGCUGGCGGACGCACAGAAGGGACGACAGGCCGUGCAGCUGAGCAUGGAGAAGGUCCAGGCCAUGGCGGAGCAGGUGGAGAUGAAGGCUAAGGUGGUGCAAAGCGAGGUGAAGGCCCUGGUCCUCAGACACAAGAAAGCACUGGAGGAGAGAGAGUGUCAACUACUGUGGAAGUUGGAGAAGAUCCGGCAGGUGAAGGCCAAGUCGCUGUAUCUUCAGGUGGAUAAACUGCACCAGAGUCUGAACAAGUUGGACAGCACCAUCGCCGCCGUCAGCCAGGUGCUGGACGAGGGACGCCACAUCGACGUGCUGCUGGCGCGGGAGAGAAUGAUGACUCAGAUGCAUGAGCUGAAGGCACUGAGGACCCUGAUGCAGCCGCAGGAGGACGACCGCUUCAUGUUCACGCCUCCAGACCAGGCGCUCUACAUAGCCAUCCAGUCCAUGGGCCUCAUCAGCAGUGGCGCCUUCGCUCCGGUCACCAAAGCCCACGGCGACGGUCUCAAAAGUGCGCUUCAGGGCAAGCACGCCUCCUUUACUGUGAUGGGAUACGACCACGACGGCGAACCGCGUCUGUCCGGCGGCGACGUCGUGUCCGCCGUCGUCAUGUCCGUCUCCGACAGCACCGUGUCGCCCACCGACAUCAGCGACCACCACAACGGCUCGUACACCGUCAGCUACGUGGCCCAAUGUGAGGGCGAGCACCUGGUGUCCGUGCUGGUGUGCAACCAGCACAUCCAGGGCAGCCCCUUCAAGGUGUUUGUCAAGUCAGGACGCAGCUACGGAUCCCUUGGCGCACAGGUGUCCUCCUUUGGCGCCGAGGGCGAAGGCGACGGUCAGCUGUGUCGUCCCUGGGGAAUCAGCGUGGACAAGGAGGGUUAUGUGGUGGUGGCGGACCGCAGCAACAACCGCAUACAGAUAUUCAAGCCCUGUGGCGCAUUCCACUACAAGUUUGGCUCUCUGGGGUCCCGGCCGGGUCAGUUUGACCGCCCGGCCGGGGUGGCAUGUGACAGCCAGAGACGAGUCAUUGUGGCCGACAAGGACAAUCACCGUGUGCAGGUGUUUACGUUUGAGGGCCAGUUCCUUCUAAAGUUUGGGGAGAAGGGGACCAAGAACGGGCAGUUCAACUACCCUUGGGACGUAGCUGUCAACUCUGAGGGUAAGAUCUUGGUCUCAGACACCAGGAACCAUCGCGUGCAGCUCUUUUCCCCCGAUGGCGCUUUCCUCAACAAGUACGGCUUUGAGGGGGCUCUGUGGAAACACUUUGACUCUCCGAGAGGUGUGGCCUUCAACCACGAGGACCACCUGGUGGUGACUGACUUCAACAACCACCGGCUCCUGGUCAUCCGGCCGGACUGCCAAUCGGCUCGCUUUCUGGGCUCCGAGGGCAUCGGUAACGGUCAGUUCUUGAGGCCUCAGGGCGUGGCCGUGGACCAGGAGAACCGCAUCAUUGUGGCAGACUCGCGCAAUCACCGCGUGCAAGUCUUUGAGCCCAACGGCAACUUUUUAUGCAAAUUUGGAACGCAGGGGAGUGGCUUCGGACAGAUGGACCGCCCUUCUGGCGUGGCCGUGACGCCGGACGGAGUCAUCGUGGUUGUUGACUUUGGUAACAAUCGGAUCCUCAAGUUCUAGGGGGAACAAACCCAAGGUUCUCUCCCUCUGUUUCACCGUUUUCUGAAGGAAACGGAGGCCAGAGAAUGAAUCACAAAAUUGGAGGAGAGCUGAAAGCGCCUUGAGAGCAGAUUGAUGAGAAGGAAACGAGCCGCUCACGUUCUGAUGGAUUGAUCAAAGGGAAACUUCCAUAAAAUGUUCCUUUCCUCUUUCUCAGCUGCUCUCAAUUCUCCGGAAUCUCUCCUCAAGAAUCCUUCUCAGGGAAUUUCUCACUUUUCUUGAACGCUGGUAAGCUCUCUGCUCCACACCUACCUCAUGUAGCUCUUUAUGAAUGUCACUGAGCAGAGGUUUAUAAGUCAAGAAGUCUACCUCUAUACUUUAUUUAAGAGAGACACAAAAAGAUUCUUUGUUUUUUCUUCUUGCACAGGAUUAAUGGAAUUCUUGCUGUGCUAUUGUUGGACUAUGAGUUAAGUGAACCUCCUGAAUGUUGUUGCUGAGACCGCUGCAUUUUUCAUUCUCAGUAGAAGGCUUUGCUCGGACACGUACGCUCGUCCUUUUCUUGUUGUUGCAUAGCCGUGACGGCCCAGCCAGAAAAAUCCAUAGCUCAGGUUAUAGUUGGGCUGCUGAGAACCGAGGAAGGCUCUUCAGUCCCUCCUAUUUAGCUUUACCGCCUCGCUGAUUAAAUGCGUUCUUGGAGGACCAAUCACUUUUAUUGUCCUCACCACCCCGUUGCGUCUGGUCAGACUGGACCCAUGAGGCCCAAAGAUCCAGUUCUGAACCACAAGGAUGCAAAGCUUAGUAUGCAAGGGUCUCCUCGGAAAAGUGAGGAGCCAUGUGAUGCAUUUGUCGAGAUCUAUUAGUGAUCUUAACGUAGAGAUUUAAUCAUAGUCCAUGUCCCCCCUGAGGCAUGCUGUGUGACAAAAGCCUCUCGAGUCCACCGUCCGGAGGACAAAAAGAACACCACCACUUUGCAAUCCUUUGGAUGCCGUGGUGGAAUAGCCAACCCUAUAGGGCGCUUGGACCUGACCGAAAAAGCCACCCCAAUUUAGUACCAACGCUCAGGUCAACGCACCCGGCGCUAGUAGACCGAUCCUCUAAAGAUGGAGGUCUAAAGACCAACUACUAGAGUCAACCAAAGUUAGAGUAUCUGCACAGGCCAACUAUAUAUAUGAAUAUAUAUAUCUAAAGAGAAAAGUCAGGUCGUUAAAUAAUCAUUGCUGGCAUAACUCAUGGAGUUGAUCGUGCUGUUGGAGAAAAUAACAUCCUUUCUUCUCUCCACCUAGAGAACCAAAGACAAGCCCAUUGUAGAAUCCCCCCCACCCCCCGAGCUCACUGCCCCGUCUUUUGUACAACAAUCCAGAACUGUAACCCAGAACGGCAGAAGCAACCCAUAACUGUAGUAACCCCAAACUGUAGUAACCCCUUAACAGCACUAAUCCAAAACUGUAGUAACCCAUAAUUGUAGUAGCCCUUAAUUGGAGUAGCCCAUAGGUGUAGUAGUCUAUAAUUGUAGUAACCCGUAGUUGUAGUAGCCUAUAAUUGUAGUAACCCAUAGUUUUAGUAGCCUAUAAUUGUAGUAACCCAUAGUUGUAGUAGCCCAUAGUUGUAGUAGCCCCUUGACAGCAGUAGCCCAUAAAUGUGGGCUUCAAUCUGCAGCCCACUUGAAGGCACAGGACAAGUGAAGUUCCAGAAAAAGAAAAGGUGGAAAGAUUCCUCUCCUCUGACCAGGAACCUGCCUACAGGUCAUCUGGACCUACAUGUGACCUACAAGUCACAUUUCAUCAGCUAGGAAUGAAGUAGCAGUGUUAUCUAGUACUGCCUUCAGUGUCUCUGCAGUUACCUAGCACUGCCUUCAGUGUCUUUUUACCUCAAAUUACCUCAGCAUUUACCUCAACCCCCUUUGGAAUACCUCAUUUUACUUACCUCAUCACAUGUUGACGCAUCGCAGAUAUACCUCAUUCCAUCAUACAUCACACGUUGAUAUACCUCAUUACAUCAUACGUUGAUAUACCUCAUUACAUCAUACAUCACAUGUUGAUAUACCUCAUUACAUCAUAUAUCACAAGUUGAUAUACCUCACACUUUUCACAACAGUGAAAAGAGUGAGGUAUAUCAUCACAAGUUGAUACACCUCAUUCUUUUCACCAUUCAUCAGAAGUUGAUAUACCUCAUUCUUUUCAACGUUGAUCAGAAGUUGAUACACCUCAUUACAUCAUACAUCAGAAGUUGAUAGACCUCAUUCUUUUCACCGUUCAUCAGAAGUUGAUAUACCUCAUUACAUCAUACAUCACAAGUUUAUAUACCUCAUUAAAUCAUACAUCAGGCAUUGAUACACCUCAUUACAUCAUACAUCACAUGUUGAUAUACAUCAUUACAUCAUACAACACAAGUUGAUAUACCUCAUUACAUCAUACAUCCCAAGUUGAUAUACCGCAUUACAUCAUACACCACAAUUUGAUAUACCUCAUUCUUUUCACAACAGUGAAAAAAAUGAGGUAUAUCAUCAGUUGAUAUACCUCAUUACAUCAUACAUCAGAAGUUGAUAGACCUCAUUCUUUUCACCGUUCAUCAGAAGUUGAUAUACCUCAUUACAUCAGAAGUUGAUAUACCUCAUUACAUCAUACAUCACAAGUUUAUAUACCUCAUUAAAUCAUACAUCAGACGUUAAUAUACCUCAUUACAUCAUACAUCACAUGUUGAUAUACCUCAUUACAUCAUACAUCCCAAGUUGAUAUACCGCAUUACAUCAUACACCACAAUUUGAUAUACCUCAUUCUUUUCACAACAGUGAAAAAAAUGAGGUAUAUCAUCAGUUGAUAUACCUCAUUACAUCAUACAUCAGAAGUUGAUAGACCUCAUUCUUUUCACCGUUCAUCAGAAGUUGAUAUACCUCAUUACAUCAGAAGUUGAUAUACCUCAUUACAUCAUACAUCACAAGUUUAUAUACCUCAUUAAAUCAUACAUCAGACGUUAAUAUACCUCAUUACAUCAUACAUCACAUGUUGAUAUACCUCAUUACAUCAUACAACACAAGUUGAUAUACCUCAUUACAUCAUACAUCCCAAGUUGAUAUACCGCAUUACAUCAUACAACACAAUUUGAUAUACCUCAUUCUUUUCACAACGGUGAAAAGAAUGAGGUAUAUCAUCACAAGUUGAUAUACUUCAUUACAUCAUACAUCAGAAGUUGAUAUACCUCAUUCUUUACACUGUAUAUCAGAAGUUGAUAUACCUCAUUACAUCAUACAUCACAUGUUGAUAUACAUCAUUACAUCACAAGUUGAUAUACCUCAUUAAAUCAUACAUCAGAAGUUGAUAUACCUCAUUACAUCAUACAUCACAUGUUGAUAUACAUCAUUACAUCACAAGUUGAUAUACCUCAUUAAAUCAUACAUCAGAAGUUGAUAUACCUCAUUACAUCAUACAUCCCAAGUUGAUAUACCUCAUUACAUCAUACAUCCCAAGUUGAUAUACCUCAUUACAUCAUACAUCCCAAGUUGAUAUACCUCCUUCUUUUCACCGUACUCGUGCAGGACCAAAGAUGGCGGCAUCGUUUUAAAAAAGCGAUGUUGUGGUCCAUCAGCAGUUUGUGUCCUCCCGCCAUUAAUUGCCUUUUUUGUCUUUUCUUUUGUAGAAUGGUGAAAUAUUAGCGAGUGCCAAAUGCUGCCAGGGGACGCACUUAUUGAGGUCAGCAGGGUGGGGCCAACAUGGCGCUCGCACAUCUAGGACCUCAACUUAGCAGCAGCAGUGUUGUUGUUGUCAGUAUUCACUCCUUCAUCCUUCAUUAUGGAGGCCAGCAGCAGCAGCAGCAGUGUUGUUGUCAGUAUUCACUCCUUCACCCUUCAUGAUGGAGGCCAGCAGCAGCUGCAGUCUUGUUGUUGUCAGUAUUCACUCAUUCAUCCUUCAUGAUGGAGGCCAGCAGCAGUGUUGUUGUUGUCAGUAUUCACUCCUUCAUCCUUCAUGAUGGAGGCCAGCAGCAGCAGUGUUGUUGUUGUCAGGAUUCACUCAUUCAUCCAUCAUGAUGGAGGCCAGCAGCAGCAGUGUUGUUGUUGUCAGUAUUCACUCAUUCAUCCUUCAUGAUGGAGGCCAGCAGCAGUGUUGUUGUCAGUAUUCACUCAUUCAUCCUUCAUGAUGGAGGCCAGCAGCAGCAGUGUUGUUGUCAGUAUUCACUCAUUCAUCCUUCAUGAUGGAGGCCAGCAGCAGCAGUGUUGUUGUUGUCAGUAUUCACUCCUUCAUCCUUCAUGAUGGAGGCCAGCAGCAGCAGUUGUUGUUGUCAGUAUUCACUCCUUCAUCCUUCAUGAUGGAGGCUAGCAGCAGCAGCAGUUGUUGUUGUCAGUAUUCACUCAUUCAUCCUUCAUGAUGGAGGCCAGCAGCAGCAGUGUUGUUGUUGUCAGUAUUCACUCCUUCAUCCUUCAUGAUGGAGGCCAGCAGCAGCAGUUGUUGUUGUCAGUAUUCACUCCUUCAUCCUUCAUGAUGGAGGCUAGCAGCAGCAGCAGUUGUUGUUGUCAGUAUUCACUCCUUUAUCCUUCAUGAUGGAGGUCAGCAGCAGUUGUUGUUGUUGUCAGUAUUCACUCCUUCAUCCUUCAUGAUGGAGGCCAGCAGCAGCAGUGUUGUUGUUGUCAGUAUUCACUCCUUCAUCCUUCAUGAUGGAGGUCAGCAGCAGCAGUGUUGUUGUUGUCAGUAUUCACUCCUUCAUCCUUCAUGAUGGAGGUCAGCAGCAGCAGUUGUUGUUGUUGUCAUCAGUAUUCACUCCUUCAUCCUUCAGGAUGGAGGCCAACAGCAGCAGUGUUGUUGUUGUCAGUAUUCACUCCUUCAUCCUUCAUGAUGGAGGCUAGCAGCAGCAGCAGUUGUUGUUGUCAGUAUUCACUCAUUCAUCCUUCAUGAUGGAGGCCAGCAGCAGCAGUGUUGUUGUUGUCAGUAUUCACUCCUUCAUCCUUCAUGAUGGAGGCCAGCAGCAGCAGUGUUGUUGUCAGUAUUCACUCAUUCAUCCUUCAUGAUGGUCAGCAGCAGCAGUUGUUGUUGUCGUCAGUAUUCACUCCUUCAUCCUUCAGGAUGGAGGCCAACAGCAGCAGCAGUGUUGUUGUUGUCAGUAUUCACUCAUUCAUCCUUCAUGAUGGAGGCUAGCAGCAGCAGUGUUGUUGUUGUCAGUAUUCACUCCUUCAUCCUUCAUGAUGGAGGCCAGCAGCAGCAGUGUUGUUGUUGUCAGUAUUCACUCAUUCAUCCUUCAUGAUGGAGGCCAGCAGCAGCAGUGUUGUUGUUGUCAGUAUUCACUCCUUCAUCCUUCAUGAUGGAGGCCAGCAAUAGCAGCAGUGUUGUUGUUGUCAGUAUUCACUCAUUCAUCCUUCAUGAUGGAGGCCAGCAAUAGCUGCAGUGUUGUUGUUGUCAGUAUUCACUCCUUCAUCCUUCAUGAUGGAGGCCAGCAGCAGCACUGUUGUUGUUGUCAGGAUUCACUCUUUCAUCCUUGAUAAGUCAUCACUCUUUAAGAGGAACUUUGCUUUUCUUGCAUGCUUUAAAAAGUCUGCCCUCUUUUCUUUGAAAGAAAGAAAGAAGACACGAGCGGGCAGCUUGACUUUUUCCCCCCGCUUUGGAUAUUAACCCGAAGGCAACUGAUCUUUGACCUUGUCGGCCACGCCUCUCAAUUGUGGCAAAACUAAAGCAGUUGGGUCCAAAGUGUGGACAACAUGGCUGCCAAUCAUAGAGAGGAGGAAAUGUCCUGUAAAUCUUUCACCGGAGUACAAUUGUACCCUGAAGCACAGGUGUCACAUACCCUGAAGCGCAGGUGUCACGUGCCCUGAAGCGCAGGCGUCACGUGCCCUGAAGCGCAGGCGUCACGUGCCCUGAAGCACAGGUGUCACGUACCCUGAAGCACAGGUGUCACAUACCCUGAAGCGCAGGCGUCACGUGCCCUGAAGCGCAGGCGUCACGUGCCCUGAAGCGCAGGCGUCACGUGCCCUGAAGCGCAGGCGUCACGUGCCCUGAAGCGCAGGCGUCACGUGCCCUGAAGCGCAGGCGUCACGUGCCCUGAAGCGCAGGCGUCACGUGCCCUGAAGCGCAGGCGUCACGUGCCCUGAAGCGCAGGCGUCACGUGCCCUGAAGCGCAGGCGUCACGUGCCCUGAAGCGCAGGCGUCACGUGCCCUGAAGCACAGGCGUCACGUGCCCUGAAGCACAGGUGUCACGUGCCCUGAAGCACUGGUGUCUUGUCACGUACCCUGAAGCACAGGUGUCAUGUCAGGUGUCUUGUCACAUACCCUGAAGCACAGGUGUCUUGUCACAUACCCUGAAGCACAUGUGUCUUGUCACAUACCCUGAAGCACAGGUGUCACGUGCCCUGAAGCACAGGUGUCACGUACCCUGAAGCACUGGUGUCUUGUCACGUACCCUGAAGCACAGGUGUCUUGUCAGGUGUCUUGUCACAUACCCUGAAGCACAGGUGUCACGUACCCUGAAGCACUGGUGUCUUGUCACAUACCCUGAAGCACAGGUGUCACGUACCCUGAAGCACUGGUGUCUUGUCACGUACCCUGAAGCACAGGUGUCUUGCCAGGUGUCUUGUCACAUACCCUGAAGCACUGGUGUCUUGUCACGUACCCUGAAGCACAGGUGUCUUGUCAGGUGUCUUGUCACAUACCCUGAAGCACAGGUGUCACGUACCCUGAAGCACUGGUGUCUUGUCACAUACCCUGAAGCACAGGUGUCACGUACCCUGAAGCACUGGUGUCUUGUCACGUACCCUGAAGCACAGGUGUCUUGUCAGGUGUCUUGUCACGUACCCUGAAGCACAGGUGUCUUGCCAGGUGUCUUGUCACAUACCCUGAAGCACUGGUGUCUUGUCACGUACCCUGAAGCACAGGUGUCUUGUCAGGUGUCUUGUCACAUACCCUGAAGCACAGGUGUCACGUACCCUGAAGCACUGGUGUCUUGUCACAUACCCUGAAGCACUGGUGUCUUGUCACGUACCCUGAAGCACUGGUGUCUUGUCACAUACCCUGAAGCACAGGUGUCACGUACCCUGAAGCACUGGUGUCUUGUCACAUACCCUGAAGCACUGGUGUCUUGUCACGUACCCUGAAGCACAGGUGUCUUGUCAGGUGUCUUGUCACGUACCCUGAAGCACAGGUGUCACAUACCCUGAAGCACAGGUGUCUUGUCAGGUGUCUUGUCACGUACCCUGAAGCACAGGUGUCACGUACCCUGAAGCACAGGUGUCUUGUCAGGUGUCUUGUCACGUACCCUGAAGCACAGGUGUCACAUACCCUGAAGCACAGGUAUCACGUAUCCUGAAGCACAUUCCAUUCCAAACAUUUUGGGGCGAAACUUAAAUAUCAGAGUGACUCUUGAUUUUAAAGCCAAUGAUCUAUUAAAAUGAGCUCUUUAAAAAUUAUUUUUCCAGUAAAAAAAAACCUGGCGGCUCAUGUUGCUCUACAUUAACACGCCACAGAUUUUACAGUAAAAUGAUGGUGCUGCUCUCCCAUUUGUCUUUGAUAUACUCUAUAAACAUGAAUAUAAGAUUUUGGCAACUGAGCUGUCAGUUUUUUUAACUGUAAAAGCUACAGAUUUUUUUAGAUCAUUUUUACAGUUUAGGUAAAAAAAAGAAUGCGUUUUUAAUAAUGGUGUAGUAGUUCAUGUAGUAUUUCAAUGGAAGGCAGUUCCAUGACAUGAAUCCUGUUAUAUUUGUCAUUGAAAAACAUCUUUCACAUGACACAAUGAUUUAUUGAAACCAAAAGUGCUCCCAGGAUGCCUUGCGGCACUUUCUUUUUCGCCAUCUUCACUUGACCCGAUGACCUAUAUUGUUCAAUUUUACCCUUAAAGCACGCUUUUUGUCCUUUAUGACAGGAUGGUACUGGUGUCAAAGAUGUAGGUGACAUUCAAAAAUGGAAGAUCGAGUCCCUUCACCCACAAAUUGUGUUUAAAUGUACUUGGUGUGUCGUGCCAAUCACUCCUGUUUGGGGAUGCAGAAGUGCAAAAAUAGUCUUCAAAAUAAAAGCAUAACACUCAUUUUGUUAAAAGCAACGCACGUUUUAUUGUCAUUGUAGGCAAGAAUAACAGCAUCCAAAAGGGGUUUGGGGAAAAAUCGAUUCGAAUUUGAAUUGCGAUUCAGAACCGGUUCUCAUUUUUUAAAAUCGAUUCUUUUUUUUAAUUAAAUCAAUCCAACAAAUCAAUACACAGCAAUACCAUAACAAUGCAAUCCAAUUCCAAAACCAAACCUCACUCAGAAGUAGUGAAACAAAAAUGAAUAUUAUCAACAACAGUAUCAAUAUUAGUUAUAAUUUCAGCAUAACAGUGAUUAAAAAUCCCUCAUCGACAUUAUUAUUAGAUAUUUAUGAAAAAUAAAAAUAAAAAACAAUAGUGGUUUACACAGGGUUAGGGUUAGGGGUUAGCCCUAACCCCAAUAUUUUGACAAAGAUAAAAAUAAUUCAUAUUUUUGGUUCGUUUAAUAGUUAAAACAAAUUUACAUUAUUGCAAUCAGUUGAUCAAACAUUGUCCUUUACAAUAAUAAAAGCUUUUUACAAAAACAUACUACUCUGCUCGCAUGUCAGCAGACUGUGUUGAAUGAAUACAGAAUCCUUUUAAAUCAGGAAAAAAAAAAUCGUGUUGAAUUGGAAAAAAAAAAAUCGAUUUUAAAUCGAAUCGUGACCCCGAGAAUCGAUGAAUCGAAAAGAUUCGCAGCCCUAGCAUCCACCUUGUUACGCAAAAAUAUCAAAUCUUGAUACAUGACCACUUUUCUAACUCCCUGAAACAUGCACAAUGUACUGGAGAAUCUUCAUUCAAGAAACAUGCACAAGUGGAAGGAAAACCCUGCGAAAAAAAUAAUAAAUAGUUUGAAAUGUGGCCGUGUUAGCAAGUGGAGAUCAAAUUGUUAGCUUUGCAUAUUCGGAACUGGACAUUGUUUGAUUUGUGCACACCGCCCUUAGUUUGGACAUCCUGGCUUAAAAGUGGCCGCGCCUCGGGUCAUGUGACAAGCAGAAGCACUUCCUGUCACGUGACUCAUCCUCUCAUUUAAGCGGGAAAGCAAAAAAAAGUCAAGCGCGCAAGCUGGUGGACUUCCUUCCGAAUGAUGGCGUACUCUAAGUGGAUGCUGGGUGAAAAGGUAGAUAUCUCAGGUAGUAGUCUCAUCCAAAUGUGUCCCCCUAGAGAAGUAGUUCAUUGUGUGUGAAAUAUUUAGCUUUUGAUGAUUUCCCCCCUCGACAAGUAGAACACGUGGCUGGAGGCGCCGUUUGCCCUUUUAGAAUGUAUUUUGUGAAGAGAAGGGCACGCUGCCGUCAUGUCCACGGCCUGCUGCCGGACGCAACGCCGAGUGUCGUCACGCCAGCAAUAUUUAGCGUCCAUGUUGGUCCGGCAAGCAGAAUCCACUGAAUGUAAACAAAAAUCAACAACAACAAAACCUCACCAACAGUCCAGGAGGCGGCGCGGUGGGCGUGGCCUGCUGAGUUUAGACGGCCUGCGCGUGAAAGUGUGUGUACGUGUGUGUGUGUGUGUGUGUGUGUGUGUGAAGUGCAGAUGUCAGGUGUUCAGUCGAAACGAGGCAAAGGAGACAAAAAAUAUUGUUGGCCACUUCCUUGCUCGCGCCGCGCUCUUUUUGACUUUAAACAUUUCCUAUGCAGUUUUUUUUGUUUACACUUCAAUAAAGUUGUACUUGUUUGACUUCAA
Nerophis ophidion (straightnose pipefish) is the source of this 14318-nucleotide RNA transcript. It is a transcript of the gene named tripartite motif containing 71, E3 ubiquitin protein ligase, with no coding region annotated. NCBI's taxonomy places the organism in Eukaryota, Metazoa, Chordata, Actinopteri, Syngnathiformes, Syngnathidae. The transcript is spliced from 8 exons. The record is from RefSeq and is a predicted model, not a curated record.